Molecule: ribosomal RNA, 237 nt
Filed under: uncultured bacterium
Lineage: Bacteria
Description: partial 16S ribosomal RNA
Rfam family: Bacterial small subunit ribosomal RNA
Source: RNAcentral
CGAGGUGGAGCGAAUCCCAAAAAGACCGGUCUAAGUUCGGAUUGCAGGCUGCAACCCGCCUGCAUGAAGUCGGAAUCGCUAGUAAUCGCGCAUCAGCCACGGCGCGGUGAAUACGUUCCCGGGCCUUGUACACACCGCCCGUCAAGCCAUGGAAGCCGGGGAGUGCCUGAAGUGCGUGAGCGCAAGCAGCGCCCUAAGGUAAAACCGGUGACUGGGGCUAAGUCGUAACAAGGUAAC